Molecule: ribosomal RNA, 484 nt
Filed under: uncultured bacterium
Lineage: Bacteria
Description: partial 16S ribosomal RNA
Rfam family: Bacterial small subunit ribosomal RNA
Source: RNAcentral
AAUGAACGCUGGCGGCAGGCCUAACACAUGCAAGUCGAGCGGAUGAAGGGAGCUUGCUCCUGGAUUCAGCGGCGGACGGGUGAGUAAUGCCUAGGAAUCUGCCUGGUAGUGGGGGAUAACGUCCGGAAACGGGCGCUAAUACCGCAUACGUCCUGAGGGAGAAAGUGGGGGAUCUUCGGACCUCACGCUAUCAGAUGAGCCUAGGUCGGAUUAGCUAGUUGGUGGGGUAAAGGCCUACCAAGGCGACGAUCCGUAACUGGUCUGAGAGGAUGAUCAGUCACACUGGAACUGAGACACGGUCCAGACUCCUACGGGAGGCAGCAGUGGGGAAUAUUGGACAAUGGGCGAAAGCCUGAUCCAGCCAUGCCGCGUGUGUGAAGAAGGUCUUCGGAUUGUAAAGCACUUUAAGUUGGGAGGAAGGACAGUAAGUUAAUACCUUGCUGUUUUGACGUUACCAACAGAAUAAGCACCGGCUAACUUCGUG